CAAUAUGAUUUGUCUUUUGGAUGUAAAUCCAACCCAAGAAGAAAGACAGCACACGAAUGCUCCGCAGGUCUUUUUAUUUCAGUAACCGUAACGAAUUUCUAUGCACACCAUAGUAAAAGCACUAGCAGCUACACUACAUCUAAACAUUACUCCGUUUCUGCCUGGAAUGACUCGAGACACAAUUACCAAGCAUGAAGAGUUGUACUUUUUAAGGCAAGUCAAUGAGCUUUCACACACUUGAGACUAUAGGCAAAACAAAACAAAACAAAAAACAGGAAAAGCUGUUUUAUAUCCUGGGUUUGUAAUUUUACACAACAUACUGGAGGUCUGGAAAGACUGGAGUGUGCAGUAGUGAGUGUAGCGUAUCACUGACCUCUUCACUGUUCAUCAUCAUCAGUUUCAGUUUCAGUCGAGGAAAGUGCAAUGAAGAUUAGAGACUAGUUUCUUCUCAAAUAAGGUCACUUUUAAUAAGUGUUCAAGUUGUUUGUUUCUGUCCUUUAUCUAAAGGUUAAUUGUUUAUUAUCUGAGCUGUAUGAGUACGAGAUGCGUUUUAUAUGAGCUCAACAUUUGGAAGCUUUAAUAUUAAAAUAAUGUUCUUUCUUUUCUUCUUCCCUUUCUUUCUUUGUAAACAAAAAUGUAAAAAAAAAAAAAGGUGUAAACAAAAUGUUUUCUUAUUCUUAUAUUGUCUUUCCUUCUUUCACUUUCUUUAUGUCUCCGACUUGUGAUUUUUCAAGUAAAUUUUUUUUCUUUUCUUCUUUCUGUUUUUUUUUUGAGAGGGUUAGAAAUAAUGAAAGAUUCUCUCCUCUAUUCCCUCUUUCAUUUGUCUCCCUCAUCGUUCCAGACGUUGCCGUUUACAUUUUCAAAAGUUAAGGCGUAAAGAGUAUAAAAAUAAUUUCACAUUUCCCUCCAUUCUUUCUUUCGUUCUUUCUUGCGCUUUCAAAUGUUCUCUUAUUCCUCUUUCUUUCACUUGAUCGAUCUUUCAAGCGAUUUUUGCGUUCUUUCAGCUCUUCCUUUUCUUUCCUUCUUUGUCCUUUGAGAGUUUUAGAAAUAAUGAAACAUUUUAUCUUCCAUCUUCUUUCACUUCUGUCUUCCCAUUUAGAUUUUUU
Molecule: long non-coding RNA, 1106 nt
Organism: Ictalurus punctatus (channel catfish)
Lineage: Eukaryota; Metazoa; Chordata; Actinopteri; Siluriformes; Ictaluridae
Source: Ensembl